This 69-nucleotide transfer RNA is filed under the name Marmota monax (woodchuck). RNAcentral describes it as "tRNA.Ala". The record is from RNAcentral. Lineage: Eukaryota; Metazoa; Chordata; Mammalia; Rodentia; Sciuridae.
GGAUUGUGGCUCAGUUGGCAGAGUGCUUGCCUAGCAUGUUUGAGGCACUGGGUUUGAUCCUCAGCACCA